UAAUGGCUGGAAAGAACAAAGCACGAGUCAUUGCCCGGACCAGGAACAGACCGCAGCCCCUUUCUUGCUCCCUUUUUGCGCAUUAAGGACUAUAACCACUAUAUAUAUAUAGGCUCAGAAAAAGCUUAUUUAUCGCACGCACUUUUACUUCCCUAUGGUUAUGGUAUAUCCCCUUUCCUAUAGAACUAGAACGAGCCAUAGUAAGCUAUGAGAUUGAUUGAAAAAGCCUUAAAUUAAAGGCGAAGAAGAAUCAUCGAACUAAUGGACAGACCGCAACGCAAGUACUAGAACUCUUUAACUAGAGGAAAG
This 309-nucleotide unclassified non-coding RNA is filed under the name Hevea brasiliensis (rubber tree). The record is from RNAcentral. Lineage: Eukaryota; Viridiplantae; Streptophyta; Magnoliopsida; Malpighiales; Euphorbiaceae.